CCUACGGGAGGCAGCAGUGAGGAAUAUUGGUCAAUGGACGAGAGUCUGAACCAGCCAAGUAGCGUGAAGGAUGACUGCCCUAUGGGUUGUAAACUUCUUUUAUAAAGGAAUAAAACGAGGCACGUGUGCCUUUUUGCAUGUACUUUAUGAAUAAGGAUCGGCUAACUCCGUGCCAGCAGCCGCGGUAAUACGGAGGAUCCGAGCGUUAUCCGGAUCUGUUGGGUUUAAAGGGAGCGUAGAUGGGUUGUUAAGUCAGUUGUGAAAGUUUGCGGCUCAACCGUAAAAUUGCAAUUGAUACUGGCAGUCGUGAGUACAGUUGAGGUAGGCGGAAUUCGUGGUGUAGCGGUGAAAUGCUUAGAUAUCACGAAGAACCCCGAUUGCGAAGGCAGCUUACUAAACUGUGACUGACAUUGAUGCUCGAAAGUGUGGGUAUCAAACAGGAUUAGAUACCCCAGUAGUC
This 460-nucleotide ribosomal RNA is filed under the name uncultured bacterium. Its description in RNAcentral is "partial 16S ribosomal RNA". It matches the Rfam family "Bacterial small subunit ribosomal RNA", at positions 338 to 795 of the family's 1533-position model. The record is from RNAcentral.